Brachypodium distachyon (stiff brome) is the source of this 137-nucleotide non-coding RNA. NCBI's taxonomy places the organism in Eukaryota, Viridiplantae, Streptophyta, Magnoliopsida, Poales, Poaceae. The record is from Rfam.
UUUAUACUCCCUCCGUCCAACAAAGGAUGUCUCAAGUUUGACUAAAUUUGAAUGCAUCUAUGCACUAAAGUCAUGUCUAGAUACAUCCAAAUUUUAACAAACUUGAGACAUCUUUUGUUGGAUGGAGGGAGUAUAGU